This 500-nucleotide ribosomal RNA is filed under the name uncultured Sphingomonas sp. RNAcentral describes it as "bacterial SSU rRNA". It matches the Rfam family "Bacterial small subunit ribosomal RNA", at positions 21 to 567 of the family's 1533-position model. Lineage: Bacteria; Pseudomonadati; Pseudomonadota; Alphaproteobacteria; Sphingomonadales; Sphingomonadaceae. The record is from RNAcentral.
GGCUCAGAACGAACGCUGGCGGCAUGCCUAAUACAUGCAAGUCGAACGAGAUCUUCGGAUCUAGUGGCGCACGGGUGCGUAACGCGUGGGAAUCUGCCCUUGGGUUCGGAAUAACUUCUGGAAACGGAAGCUAAUACCGGAUGAUGACGUAAGUCCAAAGAUUUAUCGCCCAAGGAUGAGCCCGCGUAGGAUUAGCUAGUUGGUGGGGUAAAGGCCCACCAAGGCGACGAUCCUUAGCUGGUCUGAGAGGAUGAUCAGCCACACUGGGACUGAGACACGGCCCAGACUCCUACGGGAGGCAGCAGUAGGGAAUAUUGGACAAUGGGGGCAACCCUGAUCCAGCAAUGCCGCGUGAGUGAUGAAGGCCUUAGGGUUGUAAAGCUCUUUUACCCGGGAUGAUAAUGACAGUACCGGGAGAAUAAGCUCCGGCUAACUCCGUGCCAGCAGCCGCGGUAAUACGGAGGGAGCUAGCGUUGUUCGGAAUUACUGGGCGUAAAGCG